GAUGAACGCUGGCGGCGUGCCUAAUACAUGCAAGUCGAGCGAACAGACGAGGAGCUUGCUCCUCUGACGUUAGCGGCGGACGGGUGAGUAACACGUGGAUAACCUACCUAUAAGACUGGGAUAACUUCGGGAAACCGGAGCUAAUACCGGAUAAUAUAUUGAACCGCAUGGUUCAAUAGUGAAAGACGGUUUUGCUGUCUCUUAUAGAUGGAUCCGCGCCGCAUUAGCUAGUUGGUAAGGUAACGGCUUACCAAGGCAACGAUGCGUAGCCGACCUGAGAGGGUGAUCGGCCACACUGGAGCGGAGACACGGUCCAGACUCCUACGGUAGGCAGCAGUAGGGAAUCUUCCGCAAUGGGCGAAAGCCUGACGGAGCAACGCCGCGUGAGUGAUGAAGGUCUUCGGAUCGUAAAACUCUGUUAUUAGGGAAGAACAAAUGUGUAAGUAACUAUGCACGUCUUGACGGUACCUAAUCAGAAAGCCACGGCUAACUACGUG
This 497-nucleotide ribosomal RNA is filed under the name uncultured bacterium. RNAcentral describes it as "partial 16S ribosomal RNA". It matches the Rfam family "Bacterial small subunit ribosomal RNA", at positions 28 to 507 of the family's 1533-position model. The record is from RNAcentral.